ACCCUGGCGGCGUUUUUAACACAUGACACCUCGAGCGGGUUUAUGAAGUAGCUUGCUACCGUUUAUAAACUUAGCGGCGGACGGGUGAGUAACGCGUGGGAAACCUGCCUUGUAGAGGGGGAUAGCCUCGGGAAACCGGGAUUAAUACCCCAUAAAGCUCUAGCACCGCAUGGUGUUGGAGUCAAAACUCCGGUGCUACAAGAUGGUCCCGCGUCCCAUUAGCUAGUUGGUGAGAUAACAGCCCACCAAGGCGACGAUGGGUAGCCGACCUGAGAGGGUGAUCGGCCACACUGGGACUGAGACACGGCCCAGACUCCUACGGGAGGCAGCAGUGGGGAAUAUUGCGCAAUGGGGGAAACCCUGACGCAGCAACGCCGCGUGAGUGAAGAAGGCCUUCGGGUCGUAAAACUCUGUCUGGAGGGAUGAAUAAUGACAGUACCUCCGGAGGAAGCCCCGGCUAACUACGUGCCAGCAGCCGCGGUAAUACGUAGGGGGCAAGCGUUGUCCGGAUUUACUGGGCGUAAAGCGUGCGCAGGCGGUUUGGCAAGAAGGAUGUGAAAUCCCGGGGCUUAACCUCGGAACUGCAUUCUUAACUGCCAGGCUAGAGUAUGUCAGAGGGGGGUAGAAUUCCGCGUGUA
Molecule: ribosomal RNA, 638 nt
Filed under: uncultured bacterium
Lineage: Bacteria
Description: bacterial SSU rRNA
Rfam family: Bacterial small subunit ribosomal RNA
Source: RNAcentral